This 500-nucleotide ribosomal RNA is filed under the name Pseudomonas sp. HSP2. Its description in RNAcentral is "bacterial SSU rRNA". It matches the Rfam family "Bacterial small subunit ribosomal RNA", at positions 33 to 526 of the family's 1533-position model. The record is from RNAcentral. Lineage: Bacteria; Pseudomonadati; Pseudomonadota; Gammaproteobacteria; Pseudomonadales; Pseudomonadaceae.
ACGCUGGCGGCAGGCCUAACACAUGCAAGUCGAGCGGAUGACGGGAGCUUGCUCCUUGAUUCAGCGGCGGACGGGUGAGUAAUGCCUAGGAAUCUAGCCUGGUAGUGGGGGACAACGUUUCGAAAGGAACGCUAAUACCGCAUACGUCCUACGGGAGAAAGCAGGGGACCUUCGGGCCUUGCGCUAUCAGAUGAGCCUAGGUCGGAUUAGCUAGUUGGUGGGGUAAUGGCUCACCAAGGCGACGAUCCGUAACUGGUCUGAGAGGAUGAUCAGUCACACUGGAACUGAGACACGGUCCAGACUCCUACGGGAGGCAGCAGUGGGGAAUAUUGGACAAUGGGCGAAAGCCUGAUCCAGCCAUGCCGCGUGUGUGAAGAAGGUCUUCAGGAUUGUAAAGCACUUUAAGUUGGGAGGAAGGGCAGUAAGUUAAUACCUUGCUGUUUUGACGUUACCGACAGAAUAAGCACCGGNUAACUCUGUGCCAGCAGCCGCGGUAAUAC